CAAAGAAUAGUUUAAUUUAGAAUCCUGGCUUUGGGGGUCAGGGGUGGAGGUUAGAAUCUUUCUUCUUUGA
Molecule: transfer RNA, 70 nt
Filed under: Epiplatys lamottei (redspotted panchax)
Lineage: Eukaryota; Metazoa; Chordata; Actinopteri; Cyprinodontiformes; Nothobranchiidae
Description: tRNA-Pro
Rfam family: tRNA
About the family: Transfer RNA (tRNA) molecules are approximately 80 nucleotides in length. Their secondary structure includes four short double-helical elements and three loops (D, anti-codon, and T loops).
Source: RNAcentral